GAUGAACGCUGGCGGUGUGCCUAAUACAUGCAAGUCGAGCGAACAGACGAGGAGCUUGCUCCUCUGACGUUAGCGGCGGACGGGUGAGUAACACGUGGAUAACCUACCUAUAAGACUGGGAUAACUUCGGGAAACCGGAGCUAAUACCGGAUAAUAUAUUGAACCGCAUGGUUCAAUAGUGAAAGACGGUUUUGCUGUCACUUAUAGAUGGAUCCGCGCCGCAUUAGCUAGUUGGUAAGGUAACGGCUUACCAAGGCGACGAUGCGUAGCCGACCUGAGAGGGUGAUCGGCCACACUGGAACUGAGACACGGUCCAGACUCCUACGGGAGGCAGCAGUAGGGAAUCUUCCGCAAUGGGCGAAAGCCUGACGGAGCAACGCCGCGUGAGUGAUGAAGGUCUUCGGAUCGUAAAACUCUUUUAUUAGGGAAGAACAAAUGUGUAAUUAACUAUGCACGUCUUGACGGUACCUAAUCAGAAAGCCACGGCUAACUUCGUG
This 497-nucleotide ribosomal RNA is filed under the name uncultured bacterium. RNAcentral's name for it is "partial 16S ribosomal RNA". It matches the Rfam family "Bacterial small subunit ribosomal RNA", at positions 28 to 507 of the family's 1533-position model. The record is from RNAcentral.